This 305-nucleotide ribosomal RNA is filed under the name uncultured bacterium. RNAcentral's name for it is "partial 16S ribosomal RNA". It matches the Rfam family "Bacterial small subunit ribosomal RNA", at positions 505 to 807 of the family's 1533-position model. The record is from RNAcentral.
ACAGCAGUCGCCACGGUAAUACGGAGGAUGCGAGCGUUAUCCGGAAUUAUUGGGUUUAAAGGGUGCGUAGGUUGCAAGGGAAGUCAGGGGUGAAAAGCCAUAGCUUAACUAGGGUCUUGCCUUUGAAACUCUCUAGCUAGAGUGUAGUGGAGGUACGUGGAACGUGUGGUGUAGCGGUGAAAUGCAUAGAUAUCACACAGAACUCCGAUUGCGCAGGCAGCGUACUAUACUACAACUGACACUGAAGCACGAAAGCGUGGGUAUCAAACAGGAUUAGAUACCCGCGUAGUCCCUGUCUCUUAUAC